Molecule: ribosomal RNA, 253 nt
Filed under: uncultured bacterium
Lineage: Bacteria
Description: partial 16S ribosomal RNA
Rfam family: Bacterial small subunit ribosomal RNA
Source: RNAcentral
UACGUAGGGUGCAAGCGUUGUCCGGAAUUAUUGGGCGUAAAGAGCUCGUAGGCGGUCUGUCACGUCGGCUGUGAAAUCCCGAGGCUCAACCUCGGGUCUGCAUUCGAUACGGGCUAGCUAGAGUGUGGUAGGGGAGAUCGGAAUUCCUGGUGUAGCGGUGAAAUGCGCAGAUAUCAGGAGGAACACCGGUGGCGAAGGCGGAUCUCUGGGCCAUUACUGACGCUGAGGAGCGAAAGCGUGGGGAGCGAACAGG